AUUGCCUCAGUAACGGCGAGUGAAGCGGCAACAGCUCAAAUUUGAAAUCUGGCCCCAGGCCCGAGUUGUAAUUUGCAGAGGAUGCUUUUGGCGCGGUGCCUUCCGAGUUCCCUGGAACGGGACGCCAUAGAGGGUGAGAGCCCCGUCUGGUUGGAAACCAAGCCUUUGUAAAGCUCCUUCGACGAGUCGAGUAGUUUGGGAAUGCUGCUCARAAUGGGAGGUAUAUGUCUUCUAAAGCUAAAUACCGGCCAGAGACCGAUAGCGCACAAGUAGAGUGAUCGAAAGAUGAAAAGCACUUUGAAAAGAGAGUUAAAUAGCACGUGAAAUUGUUAAAAGGGAAGCGUUCAUGACCAGACUUGGGCCGGUUAAUCAUCCAGCGUUCUUCGCUGGUGCACUUUGCCGGUCCAGGCCAGCAUCAGUUCGUUGCGGGGGAUAAAGGCGUCGGGAAUGUGGCUCUUCGGAGUGUUAUAGCCCUUCGUGUAAUACCCUGCGGUGGACUGAGGUUCGCGCUCUGCAAGGAUGCUGGCGUAAUGGUCAUCAACGACCCGUCUUGAAACACGGACCAAGGAGUCGUCUUCGUAUGCGAGUGUUCGGGUGUAAAACCCCUACGCGUAAUGAAAGUGAACGCAGGUGAGAGCUUCGGCGCAUCAUCGACCGAUCCUGAUGUUCUCGGAUGGAUUUGAGUAAGAGCAUACGGGGCCGGACCCGAAAGAAGGUGAACUAUGCCUGUAUAGGGUGAAGCCAGAGGAAACUCUGGUGGAGGCUCGCAGCGGUUCUGACGUGCAAAUCGAUCGUCAAAUAUGGGCAUGGGGGCGAAAGACUAAU
RNAcentral lists this ribosomal RNA (825 nucleotides) under Memnoniella oenanthes. Its description in RNAcentral is "eukaryotic LSU rRNA". It matches the Rfam family "Eukaryotic large subunit ribosomal RNA", at positions 74 to 935 of the family's 3401-position model. The record is from RNAcentral. Lineage: Eukaryota; Fungi; Ascomycota; Sordariomycetes; Hypocreales; Stachybotryaceae.